GAAUAUUGGACAAUGGGCGAAAGCCUGAUCCAGCCAUGCCGCGUGUGUGAAGAAGGUCUUCGGCUUGUAAAGCAUUUUAAGUUGGGAGGAAGGGCAGUAAGCGAACACCUUGCUGUGUUGACGUUACUGACAGAAUAAGCACAGGCUAACUCUGUUCACGCAGCCGCGGUCAUACAGAGGGUGCAAGCGUUAAUCGGAUUUACUGGGCGUAAAGCGCGCGUAGGUGGUUCGUUAAGUUGGAUGUGAAAGCCCCUGGCUCAACCUGGGAACUGCAUCCAAAACUGGCGAGCUAGAGUAGGGCAGAGGGUGGUGGAAUUUCCUGUGUCGCGGUGAAAUGCGUAGAUAUAGGAAGGAACACCAGUGGCUAAGGCGACCACCUGGGCUCAUACUGACACUGAGGUGCGAAAGCGUGGGGAGCAAACA
This 423-nucleotide ribosomal RNA is filed under the name uncultured bacterium. RNAcentral's name for it is "partial 16S ribosomal RNA". It matches the Rfam family "Bacterial small subunit ribosomal RNA", at positions 359 to 774 of the family's 1533-position model. The record is from RNAcentral.